AUUCACUACUUCAUAAAAGGGACAUUCCAGUCACCAUAACUUCAUAUAAAUUUAAUUGCUAUGGUGCCAGGAGGCCCCCAGGUGCACUCUUACCUUAAGGAGCUAAACCGUUCUCUAAUAGUUUAACCAGAAAAGUUGUCUUCAUCACCAAUCUCAAGGUCCCCCAGGUGGUGUACAGUUUCUGAAUUUGUGUUACAAGAACCGUGGCAGUCUCUCAGAUGUAGCUCCCCAGCUACUGAUCGGCUUAGUGUCAGCCAAUCAGUGGGGGCACCCAUGUUUCCUGUAACUCAGAUUCAGAAGCUGGAUGCCGCUUUGGGGAUCUUGAUAUUGGGGCAGGAGGAAUCCUUUUGGGGUUAAACAGUUUGCGGUCACUGAAGGUACACAUAGUUAAGAAUGAACCACUGCUGCAACAAGUGCCAUUCUUGGUGGUGCCGUCCUAGCAACCCCAUAAGUGUUAUUUUAAUUAAAAUAGUUAUACUGUAAGAAAUCAUCAAAAAAAAAAUCAAUCAUUUUUUUUUUUUUUCCAUUAUUUUGUGUCCGGAACAACGUUCAGGCCACCACCAUCUUUCUGUGGGACAUGUCAUCUGCCCAUACUCGAUAGCGCGAUUCCCGUACAUGCCCAGUUAAACACUUGGGCAUGCGAACGGGAAUUUCAUCUAUUCAUUCGUCAUAACAAACAAUAUCGGUGUUUGUUCGUUCAGUUUAUUACAAAGAGGGAACUACCGGCGCGCAGUUCCCUUCUUGUAAAAUGUAAAGAUAGAAGCGGCAGGGAACAGCUCCCCGCCACUUCCUAAUCCCACCAUGUCCUCCCUCACUCUAUGGAGGCCCUAUUGUCCUCUCCCCACCCCUGAGUGGCAGGUGGGGAUAUAAGCCUUAUCCCCUAGUCACCUUGGAAGGGGGCCAUUUUCAUUUAGGGCCCCCACCCACCGCUAAGGGUGCGGGCCGGGGGACGACGACAAUAUGUACUCCUCCCUCCCC
This is a non-coding RNA of Pelobates cultripes (western spadefoot toad), 978 nucleotides long. The record is from the annotation of a GenBank genome assembly. NCBI's taxonomy places the organism in Eukaryota, Metazoa, Chordata, Amphibia, Anura, Pelobatidae.